AACGAACGCUGGCGGCAUGCCUAACACAUGCAAGUCGAACGAGACCUUCGGGUCUAGUGGCGCACGGGGGCGUAACGCGUGGGAACCUGCCCUUAGGUUCGGAAUAACUCCCCGAAAGGGGUGCUAAUACCGGAUAAUGUCUUCGGACCAAAGAUUUAUCGCCUUUGGAUGGGCCCGCGUUGGAUUAGCUAGUUGGUAGGGUAAAAGCCUACCAAGGCGACGAUCCAUAGCUGGUCUGAGAGGAUGAUCAGCCACACUGGGACUGAGACACGGCCCAGACUCCUACGGGAAGCAGCAGUGGGGAAUAUUGGACAAUGGGCGAAAGCCUGAUCAAGCAAUGCCGCGUGAGUGAUGAAGGCCUUAGGGUUGUAAAGCUCUUUUACCCGGGAUGAUAAUGACAGUACCGGGAGAAUAAGCUCCGGCUAACUCCGUG
RNAcentral lists this ribosomal RNA (433 nucleotides) under uncultured bacterium. RNAcentral's name for it is "partial 16S ribosomal RNA". It matches the Rfam family "Bacterial small subunit ribosomal RNA", at positions 29 to 507 of the family's 1533-position model. The record is from RNAcentral.